GAUGAAGAACGUAGCGAAAUGCGAUAAGUAGUGUGAAUUGCAGAAUUCCGUGAAUCAUCGAAUCUUUGAACGCACAUUGCGCCCGCCAGCAUUCUGGCGGGCAUGCCUGUUCGAGCGUCAUUUCAACCCUCAAGCUCUGCUUGGUGUUGGGGCCCUACGGUUGACGUAGGCCCUUAAAGGUAGUGGCGGACCCUCUCGGAGCCUCCUUUGCGUAGUAACUAACGUCUCGCAUUGGGAUUCGGAGGGACUCUUGCCGUAAAACCCCCAAAUUUUCUAAUGGUUGACCUCGGAUCAGGUAGGAAUACCCGCUGAACUUAAGCAUAUCAAUAAGCGGAGGA
This 338-nucleotide unclassified non-coding RNA is filed under the name soil metagenome. RNAcentral describes it as "partial contains 5.8S ribosomal RNA, internal transcribed spacer 2, and large subunit ribosomal RNA". The stretch from base 1 to 120 matches the Rfam family "5.8S ribosomal RNA", at positions 35 to 154 of the family's 154-position model. The record is from RNAcentral.